GAACUUUGAAAUAGCUGAACAAAUUGUUAUUCAAUAACAAGUCUUCUUGUAUUCUAUACUGCACAAUAAUGUAAUGAUGAAAGGGUACAACGCUUUCAAGGUUCUACGAUAUAUUCAAUUGAAUAAUCAAGAAUUAAUUCUACGAAUUUGCAAAGUGGAUUGUUUUCCAGAUUUAUACUGAGUGAUCACACAAGAUCUUUGAACUUCUCUUCUCGAGUAACUAUCAAAGUUAUACUUUGAUAUACCCAGGUGUAUCAGAUAACCGUAAAGAUUAAAUCAUACCCCUCUGUAAGUAUAACAAGUGAUCAACUUAUUAUACCCUAUAUUAUGCAUAAUAUUUAAGUCACGCGCAAUGAUCGAAUAUACGAUUUAAUGAUAUUCCCUUUUUAUAAAAGGUUGUUCUUCUCAGUCUCAG
Molecule: long non-coding RNA, 415 nt
Filed under: Panax ginseng (ginseng)
Lineage: Eukaryota; Viridiplantae; Streptophyta; Magnoliopsida; Apiales; Araliaceae
Description: long non-coding RNA (PGIN_LNC006815)
Source: RNAcentral